AGAACGAACGCUGGCGGCAUGCCUAACACAUGCAAGUCGAACGAGACCUUCGGGUCUAGUGGCGCACGGGUGCGUAACGCGUGGGAAUCUGCCCUUGGGUUCGGAAUAACAGUUGGAAACGACUGCUAAUACCGGAUGAUGACGUAAGUCCAAAGAUUUAUCGCCCAGGGAUGAGCCCGCGUAGGAUUAGCUAGUUGGUGAGGUAAAGGCUCACCAAGGCGACGAUCCUUAGCUGGUCUGAGAGGAUGAUCAGCCACACUGGGACUGAGACACGGCCCAGACUCCGUACGGGAGGCAGCAGGUGGGGAAUAUUGGACAAUGGGCGAAAGCCUGAUCCAGCAGUGCCGCGUGAGUGAUGAAGGCCGUUAGGGUUAGUAAAGUCUUACCGUUUUAACCCGGGAAGUAACUAAGUGACGUGGUAACCGGAGAAGUAAGCGUACCGGCUAACGUCCGUACGCCACGCACGCCGC
RNAcentral lists this ribosomal RNA (470 nucleotides) under uncultured soil bacterium. Its description in RNAcentral is "bacterial SSU rRNA". It matches the Rfam family "Bacterial small subunit ribosomal RNA", at positions 26 to 518 of the family's 1533-position model. The record is from RNAcentral.